GGGCCUGUAGCUCAGCGGUAGAGCAGGGGACUCAUAAUCCCUUGGUCGCAGGUUCGAAUCCUGCCGGGCCCA
This 72-nucleotide transfer RNA is filed under the name Planctomycetota bacterium. Its description in RNAcentral is "Planctomycetes bacterium (anaerobic digester metagenome) tRNA-Ile". It matches the Rfam family "tRNA". From Rfam's summary of the family: Transfer RNA (tRNA) molecules are approximately 80 nucleotides in length. Their secondary structure includes four short double-helical elements and three loops (D, anti-codon, and T loops). The record is from RNAcentral. Lineage: Bacteria; Pseudomonadati; Planctomycetota.